UUUCUUCCAUUUUAUUUGCAGAACCACUCCCACUUCCACAGAACCAUCGAUCCACCAUCGAUCCACCACCCCCACCACCCCCACCAUCGUAAUUGAUUUCAUCGUAAUUGAUUUUUUCCACAGAACCAUCGAUCCACCACCACCCCACCAUCGUAAUUGAUUUCUUCCACAGAACCACCCCACCAACAUUUCAUUUUCUUCCACAGAACCACCCCACCACCAUCGAUCCCCCCACCCACACCAUUUUUGAUAGAAUAUCUUUGUUAAAUCUACCAAAAACUCAGAAGCUAAUUCUCUGAAGUCUUAUCUAUAGAUCAAAACUCAUCUUUCAGAUAUCAAACUCAAUCUUCACUAACCCAGAAUUCGUUUGCAGCCCUAGAUAUGUGAUUUUCCCCGUCAUGAACUCUAGCAAAAUUAACAUUAUUUUUACUCUUUUUCUGUAUCGAGAGUAUAAUUCGUUUUUUCUUUAUGGAUUUUGUGAGUCCGGCUUUUUUUAUCGACCUCCUUAUAUGUCAUUUAUGAUCAAGAAGAACCUUGGUGAAAAUAAGACAAAGCAGACCCAUCACUAAUCGGUUCCGUAUGAAAUUGAUAACCCGGUCAGGUUUGUGUUUUUUUUUCCUUCACCAUAUCAUAGCAGUAGAAUCUUCUCAUUCCUAUAAGUACAUCCUCCUCAACACAAUUUUGAAAUAGAUAAAGCUUUUGAUUUUGUUCAAGUACCCAUUUCUCUUUUUAAAAAGGUAAGAACUUUGAUCUUCAUUCUUUGUUUAUGUACUUUGAAUUCCAUUUUUGUUUAGUGAACAGUAAAUUAAGUAAAGCUUUAUAAACUUUGGGAUGCAUUUGGCUCGACUUAUACGAUUUCGUACUAGUUAACUAGCAUUGGUGUGCAUUAUUUUGGUUAUUUGGGGAUAUCAAUUUCCUUACAGAUACAUGACUCUCCGUUGUGUGUUUGGGAACAAAAACCCAAUAUUUAUGCUUUAUCAUCACUACUCUAUCUCUAAAUCUGGCUAUUACAUUGUCUCAUUAUCCUAUUCCUGUGCAGUAGUUGCAUAAAAAGAAAGCUUAAAUAGGUUUGCAUAAAAAGAAAGCUUAAAUAUUCCUGUGCAAUAUUUAUGCUUGUUCUUUCCCUAAAAUUAAGUCAGUAUUACAAACACUUCAGUCCAGGUAUCGCUAUCCGUACAGUUGUUUCAUCUUUCCACUAACAUUUUUUCUUUUCCCGUCUAUGUUCGAUUUGAUAUCCACCUCUAAGACGUGUUUCUAUGCUGAAUUGUAGGCUGUAAGACAAGAUAGUAUUGACCCGGAUAACAUGACUUAUGAGCAAUUGCAAUCAUUAGGAGAAUCCGUUGGAACUAAGAGUAAAGGUCACUGAAUUCUGUUAUGCUGAAUCAGAACAAUACCUUGCUUACACCGUGCAGCUAGAGAAUGGAGAAAUUAAGGUUAGUUCACCUCUUAAUCAAAAACCCUGUGAAAUCAUCUGGUUUGACAUAAUGACAUCAGUGCCUUGAGUUCCUCCAGUAGUAUUUUUCUCAUCAUUGCAGAAAAAACUUAAGCAUGAGUGGUAAUAGGUUGCUUCCCUCACUAGAUCCUUGUUAACUUCGAUUUAAGUAGGAAGCUCACCCAUUCUUUCCAACCUUCUUUUCCAUAUAUGCUUCAACUUAUAGUUUAUUCCACCGUGAACCUUUAACACCUCAAUCAUGCAUAGUUGUAUUGUGAGGAAUACUGCAUUUAAAGAUUCUGAUGAUAGUUUUUCGAAUGAUGUGUUCACUGCCAAGAGGAGCUCACCAACAGUGGUAGGAGCCUCUUCGUGUUGUAACGAUUGGAUCUCCAUAAAGAACCCAAGAUCCAACACGUUCAUGUCUGGACUUUGUGAGGGUUGAAACCGGAGUCAAAUAUUAAAACCUUCCUUUGCCGCUUCCCGUUUGUCUUCAAGUGUCCCAGCUGGACGAUUCUUGCUGGAACGCUUUGCUGCUUCCUUCGUUACAAAAGGGAAUAUCCUUAUUUUUCCGUUAAAAACUUCAUUCCCAAAUAAAUCGAAUCUUGGACAAGCAACUGCUGCUAAGAACAUCACCUUUUUGAUGUAUCUUUUGCUUUGACAAGUGCGAUGGGGUUCUGUUUCUUCCGGAAGAAGAUAGUAGUUCUCCAUGGUUUUGGUCAUAAAAAACCAUUUCUCGUCUAUGUGUAUGACAUUAUACAUACCCUUAACCAUCGGGUUCUCCUUGUAAGGGCUUGGCUCGAGCAUUCUCAAACAAAACUCCAACCUUGCUUUUUUGUUUUCAUAUGUGAAAGCUGGUUUAAUUGCAUUUGAAUGUCUUCUGAUCCGUCCUUUUUUGAUCAGUCUAAAUACAGUUGCAGUGGAUAUAUUUAGAUCUCUAGUGAGCGACCGCAUGUUGGUGCGUUGACGAAGUGGAAUUUCUGGAAGCUUCGACAAAACAAUUUCCAUUGGUUUACCACCACUUCGGGUUGGUUUCCUCGAAGACACAUCAACAGCUAUCUUUCAGCAGAAAGUGGUAAACUGACAAAAGUUGUUCGUUGGUGAGAUUCUUGUUAUUCCUGGUGGAGAAACUUGUUCCGAUGUCCAUGAAUGAAGGCACUGCAAAUUCUGCAAUAUUAAAACGUGUUUAGGUUCUCAGUGACAAUCCAAACAACAAUACACGUAGGUGACUCUACAGUGCUUCUUUGUGGACAACUUUCGAAAUAAUCUAAAUUGUUUAUUGAAAGAGGAGUGUCUCCUAGAGUCUCAUUAGGAGUUUCCGAGAUGUGGCUAACCUGGUAAUUGUGAAAAUCAAGACCUUGCUGUGAGCAUUGAAGGUAAAAGUAUGGAAGAAAGGAAUUAGGCAUUAGAAAAUUAUGCUUCAACAACACUUUCCUCAAAGCUCAUUGGUGGCAAAAGAGUUUCUUUUUCAACUAUGAUUGUAGAUGCUGUAAUUACUGUUGGCAGCAGUGACAGGUUCCAUUUAAUUGGUAUCAAGAAGCUCGCCCAUGGACACUGCCAGACUUCAUGUUCAAAUAUUGAAGCCUUGAUUAAAGAUUCACUUCUGCCCAUUUUCUGGACUGAUACUACUGCUGCUGCAUCUAUCUCAAGACUCUUAUUUCAUGACUGUCAAGUUCAGAUCCCUGGAAAUGGUACUCUAGACUAAGAGGCAAAUCUGAACUUAGACUCUGGAAUCAAUUUGUUAUCAACAAUGAAAGUGCAGGAUAAACAGUAUUUCAAUUACACAGUAAAGUUCAAGUAAUGAUUCAAGUAAUCAAUUUGUUAGAGGAUCUGAUAUUUUACCUUGGAACUUGUGGUGUUGAUUUUAAAUUUCAAGCUGAUUUUUCCUUUGAGAAUCUUAGAUCAGUAUUGAUUUUGUUGUAGUUUGAAAUUUAUUUUCCAGUUUAUUUCAGAUAUUGAUAUUCAAGAUGCAAAUCAAGGUAGUGGUUACAACAAGUUGAGGAGUGAUGAGCGAAGACACAAACUCUGUAAUUCUUAGAUUGAAGAUAAGAUAAUCUGUGAUCAAUUUGAUUUUUGAUUGAAAGUGAAAAUCAAAUCAUGGUAGUGAGUGUAACAAAUUGAGGAGUAAAUAGAAGAUUUUGUGAUUCUCAGAAGAUGAUGAAGAUUUCCUGUACCUGUUCUGAUUGAAUGUGUUUAUGUUUUGAUCGAAUUUAUUUCAGUUUUGAUCAAAUUUGUUUAUGAGUGAACCUGAUUUUGAUCAUUCUGAUCAAAAUCUAACUUGAUGUAUAUUUGAACUUACAUAUGUGUAAAUGGAGAUGGAGGGAAGUGUUUGAAAUUUGUGGUUUC
Molecule: long non-coding RNA, 3775 nt
Organism: Papaver somniferum (opium poppy)
Lineage: Eukaryota; Viridiplantae; Streptophyta; Magnoliopsida; Ranunculales; Papaveraceae
Exons: 10
Source: RefSeq, a predicted model, not a curated record